This 478-nucleotide ribosomal RNA is filed under the name uncultured bacterium. RNAcentral's name for it is "bacterial SSU rRNA". It matches the Rfam family "Bacterial small subunit ribosomal RNA", at positions 66 to 559 of the family's 1533-position model. The record is from RNAcentral.
AAGAGAUUUCGUGUCGAUUCCUGUUUAUCUUAGUGGCGGACGGGUGAGUAACGCGUGGGUAACCUGCCCUGUACAGGGGGAUAACACUUAGAAAUAGGUGCUAAAACCGCAUAAGCGCACAGUACCGCAUGGUACAGUGUGAAAAACUCCGGUGGUACAGGAUGGACCCGCGUCUGAUUAGCUGGUUGGAGGGGUAACGGCCCACCAAGGCGACGAUCAGUAGCCGGCCUGAGAGGGUGAACGGCCACAUUGGGACUGAGACACGGCCCAAACUCCUACGGGAGGCAGCAGUGGGGAAUAUUGCACAAUGGGGGAAACCCUGAUGCAGCGACGCCGCGUGAGUGAAGAAGUAUUUCGGUAUGUAAAGCUCUAUCAGCAGGGAAGAUAAUGACGGUACCUGAGUAAGAAGCCCCGGCUAACUACGUGCCAGCAGCCGCGGUAAUACGUAGGUGGCAAGCGUUAUCCGGAAUUAUUGGGC